RNAcentral lists this transfer RNA (91 nucleotides) under Paraburkholderia sp. BL17N1. RNAcentral's name for it is "tRNA-Leu". It matches the Rfam family "tRNA". Rfam says of the family: Transfer RNA (tRNA) molecules are approximately 80 nucleotides in length. Their secondary structure includes four short double-helical elements and three loops (D, anti-codon, and T loops). RNAcentral also lists the same sequence under 1 other name. The record is from RNAcentral. Lineage: Bacteria; Pseudomonadati; Pseudomonadota; Betaproteobacteria; Burkholderiales; Burkholderiaceae.
GCCCGGAUGGUGAAAUUGGUAGGCGACACUGCGGACUUAAAAUCCGCCGCGCCUCUAUCGGCGCAUACCGGUUCGACUCCGGUUCCGGGCA